UACGAAGGGGGCUAGCGUUGCUCGGAAUCACUGGGCGUAAAGCGCACGUAGGCGGAUAUUUAAGUCGGUGGUGAAAUCCUGGAGCUCAACUCCAGAACUGCCUCCGAUACUGAAUGUCUUCGAGUCCGGGAGAGGUGAGUGGAACUGCGAGUGUAGAGGUGAAAUUCGUAGAUAUCGGGAGGAACACCUGUGGCGAAGGCGGCCAUCUGGACGUUCACUGACGCUGAGACGCGAAAGCGUGGGUAGCAAACAGG
This 254-nucleotide ribosomal RNA is filed under the name uncultured bacterium. RNAcentral describes it as "partial 16S ribosomal RNA". It matches the Rfam family "Bacterial small subunit ribosomal RNA", at positions 524 to 776 of the family's 1533-position model. The record is from RNAcentral.